This 450-nucleotide ribosomal RNA is filed under the name uncultured bacterium. Its description in RNAcentral is "bacterial SSU rRNA". It matches the Rfam family "Bacterial small subunit ribosomal RNA", at positions 354 to 796 of the family's 1533-position model. The record is from RNAcentral.
GUGGGGAAUAUUGGACAAUGGGCGAAAGCCUGAUCCAGCCAUGCCGCGUGUGUGAAGAAGGUCUUCGGAUUGUAAAGCACUUUAAGUUGGGAGGAAGGGCAGUAAGUUAAUACCUUGCUGUUUUGACGUUACCAACAGAAUAAGCACCGGCUAACUUCGUGCCAGCAGCCGCGGUAAUACGAAGGGUGCAAGCGUUAAUCGGAAUUACUGGGCGUAAAGCGCGCGUAGGUGGUUCAGCAAGUUGAAGGUGAAAUCCCCGGGCUCAACCUGGGAACUGCUUUCAAAACUGCUGAGCUAGAGUACGGUAGAGGGUGGUGGAAUUUCCUGUGUAGCGGUGAAAUGCGUAGAUAUAGGAAGGAACACCAGUGGCGAAGGCGACUACCUGGACUGAUACUGACACUGAGGUGCGAAAGCGUGGGGAGCAAACAGGAUUAGAAACCCCAGUAGUCC